Molecule: ribosomal RNA, 427 nt
Filed under: uncultured Stenotrophomonas sp.
Lineage: Bacteria; Pseudomonadati; Pseudomonadota; Gammaproteobacteria; Lysobacterales; Lysobacteraceae
Description: bacterial SSU rRNA
Rfam family: Bacterial small subunit ribosomal RNA
Source: RNAcentral
UGGGGAAUAUUGGACAAUGGGCGCAAGCCUGAUCCAGCCAUACCGCGUGGGUGAAGAAGGCCUUCGGGUUGUAAAGCCCUAUUGUUGGGAAAGAAAUCCAGCUGGCUAAUACCCGGUUGGGAUGACGGUACCCAAAGAAUAAGCACCGGCUAACUUCGUGCCAGCAGCCGCGGUAAUACGAAGGGUGCAAGCGUUACUCGGAAUUACUGGGCGUAAAGCGUGCGUAGGUGGUCGUUUAAGUCCGUUGUGAAAGCCCUGGGCUCAACCUGGGAACUGCAGUGGAUACUGGGCGACUAGAAUGUGGUAGAGGGUAGCGGAAUUCCUGGUGUAGCAGUGAAAUGCGUAGAGAUCAGGAGGAACAUCCAUGGCGAAGGCAGCUACCUGGACCAACAUUGACACUGAGGCACGAAAGCGUGGGGAGCAAACA